RNAcentral lists this ribosomal RNA (611 nucleotides) under Helix pomatia (Roman snail). RNAcentral describes it as "partial 16S ribosomal RNA". It matches the Rfam family "Archaeal large subunit ribosomal RNA", at positions 1519 to 2689 of the family's 2987-position model. The record is from RNAcentral. Lineage: Eukaryota; Metazoa; Mollusca; Gastropoda; Stylommatophora; Helicidae.
AGAUAUUAUCCCCUUGUAGUGUAGUUUAAUAGCUAUCUACAUAAUAACUUAAUAUAAAGUAUAAUAGUUUAUAUUUUAUAAUAUGACGUUAACAAUUUUGUUUAAUAUUUGAAAAUGUUAGUAUUAGUAAUAUUAGUAUAUGUGCUAAAGGAACUCGGCAAAAAACCACUCAACUGUUUAUCAAAAACAUAGCUAUAUGCAUUAAUAUAUAGUUAUUUCUGCUCAAUGACUUAAAUAGCCGCAGUACUCUGACUGUGCAAAGGUAGCAUAAUCAGUUGGCUUUUAAUUAGAGUCUGGUAUGAACGAAAAUAUGGGUAGUAACUGUCUUAGCACAUUUUUUCGAACUUAUUAAACAAGUGCAAAUGCUUGUAAUUUAACAAUAGACGAGAAGACCCUAGAAACUUGGACAAGUUUUUGUUGGGGCGACAGAAUUACACUUAACUAAUCUUAUAAUACACGACGCGAUGUUGAAAGAAUAAGUUACUCUAGGGAUAACAGCAUAAUUUCAUUAGUUUGUGACCUCGAUGUUGGACUAGGUACUAUACCCUUAAGGCAAGGAUAUAUUAUGCUCUGUUCGAGCAAAAUUACCUACAUGAUCUGAGUUCAGACCG